RNAcentral lists this ribosomal RNA (1439 nucleotides) under uncultured organism. Its description in RNAcentral is "SSU rRNA". It matches the Rfam family "Bacterial small subunit ribosomal RNA". The record is from RNAcentral.
UGAUGAACGCUAGCUACAGGCUUAACACAUGCAAGUCGAGGGUCAGCAUGGUCUUAGCUUGCUAAGGCCGAUGGCGACCGGCGCACGGGUGAGUAACACGUAUCCAACCUGCCGUCUACUCUUGGACAGCCUUCUGAAAGGAAGAUUAAUACAAGAUGGCAUCAUGAGUCCGCAUGUUCACAUGAUUAAAGGUAUUCCGGUAGACGAUGGGGAUGCGUUCCAUUAGAUAGUAGGCGGGGUAACGGCCCACCUAGUCUUCGAUGGAUAGGGGUUCUGAGAGGAAGGUCCCCCACAUUGGAACUGAGACACGGUCCAAACUCCUACGGGAGGCAGCAGUGAGGAAUAUUGGUCAAUGGGCGAGAGCCUGAACCAGCCAAGUAGCGUGAAGGAUGACUGCCCUAUGGGUUGUAAACUUCUUUUAUAAAGGAAUAAAGUCGGGUAUGGAUACCCGUUUGCAUGUACUUUAUGAAUAAGGAUCGGCUAACUCCGUGCCAGCAGCCGCGGUAAUACGGAGGAUCCGAGCGUUAUCCGGAUUUAUUGGGUUUAAAGGGAGCGUAGAUGGAUGUUUAAGUCAGUUGUGAAAGUUUGCGGCUCAACCGUAAAAUUGCAGUUGAUACUGGAUAUCUUGAGUGCAGUUGAGGCAGGCGGAAUUCGUGGUGUAGCGGUGAAAUGCUUAGAUAUCACGAAGAACUCCGAUUGCGAAGGCAGCCUGCUAAGCUGCAACUGACAUUGAGGCUCGAAAGUGUGGGUAUCAAACAGGAUUAGAUACCCUGGUAGUCCACACGGUAAACGAUGAAUACUCGCUGUUUGCGAUAUACUGCAAGCGGCCAAGCGAAAGCGUUAAGUAUUCCACCUGGGGAGUACGCCGGCAACGGUGAAACUCAAAGGAAUUGACGGGGGCCCGCACAAGCGGAGGAACAUGUGGUUUAAUUCGAUGAUACGCGAGGAACCUUACCCGGGCUUAAAUUGCAGAUGAAUUACGGUGAAAGCCGUAAGCCGCAAGGCAUCUGUGAAGGUGCUGCAUGGUUGUCGUCAGCUCGUGCCGUGAGGUGUCGGCUUAAGUGCCAUAACGAGCGCAACCCUUGUUGUCAGUUACUAACAGGUUCCGCUGAGGACUCUGACAAGACUGCCAUCGUAAGAUGUGAGGAAGGUGGGGAUGACGUCAAAUCAGCACGGCCCUUACGUCCGGGGCUACACACGUGUUACAAUGGGGGGUACAGAGGGCCGCUACCACGCGAGUGGAUGCCAAUCCCCAAAACCUCUCUCAGUUCGGACUGGAGUCUGCAACCCGACCCCACGAAGCUGGAUUCGCUAGUAAUCGCGCAUCAGCCACGGCGCGGUGAAUACGUUCCCGGGCCUUGUACACACCGCCCGUCAAGCCAUGGGAGCCGGGGGUACCUGAAGUGCGUAACCGCGAGGAGCGCCCUAGGGUAAAACUG